AUUGCCCCAGUAACGGCGAGUGAAGCGGCAAGAGCUCAAAUUUGAAAUCUGGCCUCCCUUGGGGGGUCCGAGUUGUAAUUUGUAGAGGAUGCUUCGGGUGUGGCCGCCGUCUAAGUUCCUUGGAACAGGACGUCGUAGAGGGUGAGAAUCCCGUCUUGGGCGGCCGGUCCGCGCCCGUGUGAAGCUCCUUCGACGAGUCGAGUUGUUUGGGAAUGCAGCUCUAAGCGGGUGGUAAAUUUCAUCUAAAGCUAAAUACUGGCCGGAGACCGAUAGCGCACAAGUAGAGUGAUCGAAAGGUUAAAAGCACCUUGAAAAGGGAGUUAAACAGCACGUGAAAUUGUUGAAAGGGAAGCGCUUGCGGCCAGACUCGAGGGGCGGGGUUCAGCGGGUGCGCGUCACCCGUGCACUCCCCGUCCCCCCGGGCCAGCAUCAGUUUCGACGGCCGGUCAAAGGCCCCCGGAAUGUGUCGUCUCUAGGGACGUCUUAUAGCCGGGGGUGCAAUGCGGCCCGCCGGGACUGAGGAACGCGCUCCGGCUCGGAUGC
This 543-nucleotide ribosomal RNA is filed under the name Microsporum canis. RNAcentral's name for it is "eukaryotic LSU rRNA". It matches the Rfam family "Eukaryotic large subunit ribosomal RNA", at positions 74 to 626 of the family's 3401-position model. Lineage: Eukaryota; Fungi; Ascomycota; Eurotiomycetes; Onygenales; Arthrodermataceae. The record is from RNAcentral.